GCUGGGCAUGGUGGUGCAUACUUGUAAUCCCAGCUUCUCAGGUGGCUGAGGCAGGAGAAUCACUUGAGUCUGGGAGGCCGGGUUUGCAGUGAGCCAAGAUGGGGCCACUGCACUCCAGCCUGGGCAACAGAGUGAGACUCUGUCUUAC
Molecule: unclassified non-coding RNA, 148 nt
Organism: Callithrix jacchus (white-tufted-ear marmoset)
Lineage: Eukaryota; Metazoa; Chordata; Mammalia; Primates; Cebidae
Rfam family: Metazoan signal recognition particle RNA
About the family: The signal recognition particle (SRP) is a universally conserved ribonucleoprotein. It is involved in the co-translational targeting of proteins to membranes.
Source: Ensembl